This 576-nucleotide ribosomal RNA is filed under the name Triticum aestivum (bread wheat). RNAcentral describes it as "partial small subunit ribosomal RNA". The record is from RNAcentral. Lineage: Eukaryota; Viridiplantae; Streptophyta; Magnoliopsida; Poales; Poaceae.
CAGCGAGCUGGGAUGCUUAAGUGCAAACCGACGACUACACCCAUGUCUACCACUGAUAAGCUCAAUGCUGUUGAUGGUGUGCUUCUUUCUUCUUCUGAUGCGACCGAGUACCGGAGUAUUGUUGGUGGGCUCCAGUACUUGACGAUCACGCGACCAGACAUUUCCUAUGCUGUUAACCGAGUCUGCCAGUAUCUGCAGUCACCCCGUGACACUCAUUGGUCUGCUGUUAAGCGGAUUUUGCGCUAUAUUCGUUUCACGGUGGCUCAUGGUUUGCAUAUUCGGCCAUCUGACUCUGGUUGUCUUUCAGCAUAUUCUGAUGCAGACUGGGCUGGCAAUCCGGAUGACAGGCGAUCCACGGGGGGUUAUGCUGUCUUCUUUGGCUCUAACCUGAUUGCCUGGAGUGCUCGGAAACAGGCUACUGUCUCGUGUAGCAGUACUGAGGCUGAGUAUAAGGCUGUGGCCAAUGCCACAUCAGAGAUUAUCUGGGUACAGUCCUUGCUUCAGGAGUUAAGUAUACCCCAAUCACAGCCUCCGGUUCUUUGGUGUGAUAACAUCGGUGCUACAUACCUUUCUGCA